This is a long non-coding RNA of Passer domesticus (house sparrow), 636 nucleotides long. RefSeq lists it as uncharacterized. The transcript is spliced from 4 exons. The record is from RefSeq and is a predicted model, not a curated record. NCBI's taxonomy places the organism in Eukaryota, Metazoa, Chordata, Aves, Passeriformes, Passeridae.
GGAGGUGACCACCCAAGAUUUUCCCCUCUGCAGAUCACCUUGUCUUCUGACAGCACCCUGGAAAAUCUCCUUACAUGGCCAAUUACCCAAACUUUCCUUUUUUCAUCACCUCAAGGCAUGCAGCAAAUACUGCCAGCAUUGUAUUUAUUUUCCUACCCUGGCACAACUGUUAGAAAUUCACUGUGAAUGUUUUCAUGAAAUUUGAUCUUCAAGGGCAGUUUUCAUGUUGUGUCGCCCCACAGCUUUGACAGAAAAUGGAAUGCCUCACAGAAUGAAUUUUCUCAAGAAUGAGCAGAUGUGAGUCAGCUUGACCUCAGCUGGCCAAAGAGUCAAAACAACUCACACCAGAAUCCAAUGACACAAUCACCUGUGGAUAAACAAUCUCUGAACACAUUCCAAAGGAGCAAAACACUGGAGAAGCAAAUGAGAGAACACCACAAACUAUUAAGACAUCUCCAUCUGUAAAGAGGGCUAAGUGAAACAGCCUGGAACACCUUUACAGAAAAACAUUCUCUUGCAUUAUUCUGAAUAUAAAGUAAUAAAAUUCAGUCAGGCUUUUAUCCUGUCUUCUGCACCAUGAGGAGCCAGUGUCUUCAUCAAGGUAGCAGAUAAAUAUGAAAUAUAUUAAAAGAGAAA